UGGUGUAGCGGUGAAAUGCUUAGAGAUCAUACAGAACACCGAUUGCGAAGGCAGCUUACCAAACUAUAUCUGACGUUGAGGCACGAAAGCGUGGGGAGCAAACAGGAUUAGAUACCCUGGUAGUCCACGCAGUAAACGAUGAUAACUCGUUGUCGGCGAUACACAGUCGGUGACUAAGCGAAAGCGAUAAGUUAUCCACCUGGGGAGUACGUUCGCAAGAAUGAAACUCAAAGGAAUUGACGGGGGCCCGCACAAGCGGAGGAACAUGUGGUUUAAUUCGAUGAUACGCGAGGAACCUUACCCGGGCUUGAAAGUUAGCGACGAUUCUUGAAAGAGGAUUUCCCUUCGGGGCGCGAAACUAGGUGCUGCAUGGUUGUCGUCAGCUCGUGCCGUGAGGUGUCGGGUUAAGUCCCAUAACGAGCGCAACCCCUACCGUUAGUUGCCAUCAGGUGAAGCUGGGCACUCUGGCGGGACUGCCGGUGUAAGCCGAGAGGAAGGUGGGGAUGACGUCAAAUCAGCACGGCCCUUACGUCCGGGGCUACACACGUGUUACAAUGGUAGGUACAGAGGGCAGCUACCCAGCGAUGGGAUGCGAAUCUCGAAAGCCUAUCUCAGUUCGGAUUGGAGGCUGAAACCCGCCUCCAUGAAGUUGGAUUCGCUAGUAAUCGCGCAUCAGCCAUGGCGCGGUGAAUACGUUCCCGGGCCUUGUACACACCGCCCGUCAAGCCAUGGGAGCCGGGGGUGCCUGAAGUUCGUGACCGCAAGGAGCGACCUAGGGCAAAACUGGUGACUGGGGCUAAGUCGUAACAAGGUAGCCGUACCGGAAGGUGCGGCUG
This 836-nucleotide ribosomal RNA is filed under the name human gut metagenome. RNAcentral describes it as "bacterial SSU rRNA". It matches the Rfam family "Bacterial small subunit ribosomal RNA", at positions 671 to 1520 of the family's 1533-position model. The record is from RNAcentral.